UUCGCCGUAGGCCAGGUAUUCCAGGGCCCGGGCCUCGGCCGCGGGGCAGUCCGCGUCGCGGGCGGCCGCCAGGGCGCGGGCCCCGGCGGCGCGG
This 94-nucleotide transfer RNA is filed under the name Streptomyces coeruleorubidus. RNAcentral describes it as "tRNA-Arg". The record is from RNAcentral. Lineage: Bacteria; Bacillati; Actinomycetota; Actinomycetes; Kitasatosporales; Streptomycetaceae.